Molecule: ribosomal RNA, 2003 nt
Filed under: Clostridioides difficile
Lineage: Bacteria; Bacillati; Bacillota; Clostridia; Peptostreptococcales; Peptostreptococcaceae
Description: partial 23S ribosomal RNA
Rfam family: Bacterial large subunit ribosomal RNA
Source: RNAcentral
UUUAACUGAGCGUUCAGUUACUUGACGUAGACCCGAAACCGGGCGACCUACCCAUGAGCAGGAUGAAGCGAAAGUAAAAUUUCGUGGAGGUCCGAACCCACGAGCGUUGAAAAGCUCGGGGAUGACUUGUGGGUAGCGGUGAAAUUCCAAUCGAGCCCGGAGAUAGCUGGUUCUCCCCGAAAUAGCUUUAGGGCUAGCCUCAAGGUGAGAGAUACGGAGGUAGAGCACUGAAUGUCCUAGGGGGUAUUGCACCUACCGAAGACUAUCAAACUCCGAAUGCCGUCAUCUUAUACUUGGGAGUCAGACUGUGGGUGAUAAGAUUCAUAGUCGAAAGGGCAACAGCCCAGAUCGUCAGCUAAGGUCCCUAAAUGUAAGUUAAGUGGUAAAGGAUGUGGGAUUGCACAGACAACCAGGAUGUUGGCUUAGAAGCAGCCACUCAUUCAAAGAGUGCGUAAUAGCUCACUGGUCGAGUGAUCCUGCGCCGAAGAUUUCCGGGGCUAAAACUUACUACCGAAGCUACGGCAUCAGUAAUGAUGGGUAGGGGAGCUUCCCAUACGGGUUGAAGCAUGACCGUAAGGACAUGUGGACAGUAUGGGAGUGAGAAUGUUGGCAUGAGUAGCGAGAUGUGGGUGAGAAUCCCACAGGCCGUAAACCCAAGGUUUCCAGGGGAAGGUUCGUCCGCCCUGGGUUAGUCGGGACCUAAGCUGAGGCCGAAAGGCGUAGGUGAUGGACAACAGGUUGAUAUUCCUGUACUACCGAUAACCGUUUGAGAGAAGGGAUGACACAGUAGGAUAAGCUAAGCACACUGUUGGUUAUGUGUGCCCAAGCAUUGAGGCAGUCAAAGUAGGCAAAUCCGCUUUGAUAAUGCUAGGAUGUGAUGGGGAGCGAAAUUUAGUAGCGAAGUAGCUGAUUUCACACUGUCAAGAAAAGUCUCUAUCGAGGUUAAAGGUACCCGUACCGCAAACCGACACAGGUGGGUGAGGAGAGUAUCCUAAGGCCAGCGAGAGAACUGUUGUUAAGGAACUCGGCAAAAUGACCCCGUAACUUAGGGAUAAGGGGUGCCACCAUCAGGUGGCCGCAGAGAAUAGGCCCAAGCGACUGUUUACCAAAAACAUAGGUUUCUGCUAAGUCGCAAGACGAUGUAUAGGAGCUGACGCCUGCCCGGUGCUGGAAGGUUAAGGGGAUCUGUUAGAGCAAUCGAAGCAGUGAACUUAAGCCCCAGUAAACGGCGGCCGUAACUAUAACGGUCCUAAGGUAGCGAAAUUCCUUGUCGGGUAAGUUCCGACCCGCACGAAAGGCGUAACGAUUUGGGCACUGUCUCAACAACAGACUCGGUGAAAUUGUAAUUCCGGUGAAGAUGCCGGAUACCUGCGACAGGACGGAAAGACCCCAUGGAGCUUUACUGUAGCUUGACAUUGGGUCUUGGUACUACAUGUACAGGAUAGGUGGGAGGCUUUGAAACCAGGACGCCAGUUUUGGCGGAGCCAUCCUUGGGAUACCACCCUUGUAGUACUGGGACUCUAACCAUAGGCCAUGAAUCUGGUCUUGGGACACUGUCAGGUGGGCAGUUUGACUGGGGCGGUCGCCUCCCAAAAGGUAACGGAGGCGCUCAAAGGUUCUCUCAGUACGGUCGGAAAUCGUACGUAGAGUGUAAAGGCAAAAGAGAGCUUGAUUGCAAGACAUACAGGUCGAGCAAGGAUGAAAAUCGGACUUAGUGAUCCGGUGGUUCUGCGUGGAAGGGCCAUCGCUCAACGGAUAAAAGCUACCCUGGGGAUAACAGGCUUAUCUCCCCCAAGAGUCCACAUCGACGGGGAGGUUUGGCACCUCGAUGUCGGCUCAUCACAUCCUGGGGCUGUAGUAGGUCCCAAGGGUUGGGCUGUUCGCCCAUUAAAGUGGUACGCGAGCUGGGUUCAGAACGUCGUGAGACAGUUCGGUCCCUAUCCGUCGCAGGCGUAGGAAAUUUGAGAAGACCUGUCCUUAGUACGAGAGGACCGGGAUGGACG